This 253-nucleotide ribosomal RNA is filed under the name uncultured bacterium. RNAcentral's name for it is "partial 16S ribosomal RNA". It matches the Rfam family "Bacterial small subunit ribosomal RNA", at positions 524 to 776 of the family's 1533-position model. The record is from RNAcentral.
UACGUAGGUGGCAAGCGUUGUCCGGAUUUACUGGGCGUAAAGCGUGCGCAGGCGGUUUUGUAAGCCGGAUGUGAAAUCCCCGGGCUUAACCUGGGAAUGGCAUUCGGGACUGCAAGGCUGGAGUGCGGCAGAGGAGACUGGAAUUCCUGGUGUAGCAGUGAAAUGCGUAGAUAUCAGGAGGAACACCGAUGGCGAAGGCAGGUCUCUGGGCUGACACUGACGCUCAUGCACGAAAGCGUGGGGAGCAAACAGG